Molecule: long non-coding RNA, 211 nt
Filed under: Gossypium raimondii (Peruvian cotton)
Lineage: Eukaryota; Viridiplantae; Streptophyta; Magnoliopsida; Malvales; Malvaceae
Description: long non-coding RNA (GRAI_LNC004005)
Source: RNAcentral
GGGUGGUGCUCCUUGUCAUGCGGCCACUUCCCGAAUAAAGUUUCUUAGGGUUUCUUCUAACCCUCUUGCUUUGUGGGAUACUAAUGCAGGCCAUCAGUUUGAGCCACUUGGAGGAGUUGCUGGGCCAGCUGGGGCAGGCCAUGCUGCUGGGACAUGCACAGUGCGGCUAGGCCGACUGCUCCAGGCUAUUGUUAUGGGCCUCUUGUGUCAA